This is a long non-coding RNA of Hypomesus transpacificus, 574 nucleotides long. RefSeq lists it as uncharacterized. The transcript has 3 exons. Lineage: Eukaryota; Metazoa; Chordata; Actinopteri; Osmeriformes; Osmeridae. The record is from RefSeq and is a predicted model, not a curated record.
CUACUCAUGCAGCCACAAGGUAGGCCUACUCAGUACCUGUAGCCACAAGGUAGGCCUACUCAGUGCCUGUAGCCACAAGGUAAACCUACUCAGUACCUGCAGCCACAAGGUAGGCCUACUCAGUACCUGCAGCCACAAGGUAGGCCUACUCAGUACCUGCAGCCACAAGGUAGGCCUACUCAGUGCCUGCAGCCACAAGGUAAACCUACUCAGUACCUGCAGCCACAAGGUAGGCCUACUCAGUACCUGCAGCCACAAGGUAGGCCUACUCAUGUAGCCACAGUACCUGCAGCCACAGUACAUGCAGCCACAAGGUAGGCCUACUCAGUAGCUGCAGCCACAAGGUAGGCCUACUUAGUACAUGUAGCCACAGUACAUCCACUGCUGGCCAGUACAGACAUCAUAUUCUACCUUUCAUCACUCAAAUGUCGGGUUUGAGGUUCACACACCAAGAGCAGUGAAGCGAUAACUGAAACUAUGUGCACAUCUGCACAAUGAUUGUUUAUAAACUUUGUUUUGAUGAUGCUUUCCUGGUUUCCUUUGAGUUUAUUUGAGUUUUGAUCUCAUUUCCGAC